CAGGACGAACGCUGGCGGCGUGCUUAACACAUGCAAGUCGAACGGGGCGAAGUGAUAGCUUGCUAUUAUGGAGCCUAGUGGCAAACGGGUGAGUAACGCGUAGGCAACCUGCCCUUUAGAUGGGGACAACACCUCGAAAGGGGUGCUAAUACCGAAUGACGUUUCCUGGUCGCAUGACCUGGAAACCAAAGGCCGGGCAACCGGUCACUGAAGGAUGGGCCUGCGUCUGAUUAGCUAGUUGGUGGGGUAACGGCCCACCAAGGCGACGAUCAGUAGCCGGUCUGAGAGGAUGAACGGCCACAUUGGGACUGAGACACGGCCCAAACUCCUACGGGAGGCAGCAGUGGGGAAUCUUCCGCAAUGGGCGAAAGCCUGACGGAGCAAUGCCGCGUGAGUGAAGAAGGCCUUCGGGUUGUAAAACUCUGUCCUUAUUGAAGAGAGGUAGCAGUGUGAAUAAUGCUGUUAUAGGACGGUAAAUAAGGAGGAAGCCCCGGCUAACUACGUG
This 505-nucleotide ribosomal RNA is filed under the name uncultured bacterium. Its description in RNAcentral is "bacterial SSU rRNA". It matches the Rfam family "Bacterial small subunit ribosomal RNA", at positions 25 to 507 of the family's 1533-position model. The record is from RNAcentral.